This 412-nucleotide long non-coding RNA is filed under the name Phasianus colchicus (ring-necked pheasant). RNAcentral's name for it is "lncRNA (ENSPCLG00000010814.1)". The record is from RNAcentral. Lineage: Eukaryota; Metazoa; Chordata; Aves; Galliformes; Phasianidae.
CAAGGGUGGAUAGUUAUUCUAAGAUUCUGGUCACUUGUGCUAUUGAGAAAAAUUCAUUGAGCUAAAGCAAAAAUUAUUUUGUUUGCUGAAGGUGUUGUUGCAUCUUUGAUAUGGAUAGAUGUUAAUGAAGAAAUCUGUAAAUUUGGACUUGCAUGUGAUGAAGCAUCAACCUAAGCAAUGAUCUGAUGUGUCAAAGAGAGUGAAAAAAAAAAAAUCCUUUCUCAGCAAGGAAGAUUGGCCUCUUCACUGGAAGACCUUUGUCAGUGGCAUAUGCAUUUCAGAGGACUUCCACCUUCUUUGUACAAGCUUGGUGAAAUACAUCAGUAAGUGACAUGAUUUUCACAUAAAAGUCAAAUUAUUAUGUAGUCAGAAGUAAUUAAAUAUAUGAAUUCACAACUCAGUUUAAACAAAU